RNAcentral lists this ribosomal RNA (404 nucleotides) under uncultured bacterium. Its description in RNAcentral is "partial 16S ribosomal RNA". It matches the Rfam family "Bacterial small subunit ribosomal RNA", at positions 28 to 526 of the family's 1533-position model. The record is from RNAcentral.
GACGAACGCUGGCGGCGUGCUUAACACAUGCAAGUCGAGCGGCGCGGCGAACGGGUGAGUAACGCGUGAGUAACUGCCCCCCUCUCUGGGAUAACAGUUGGAAACGGCUGCUAAUACCGGAAAGUGGGGGAUGACUCGCGUCCUAUCAGCUGGUUGGUGGGGUAGUGGCGUACCAAGGCGGCGACGGGUGGCCGGCCUGAGAGGGCGCCCGGCCACAGUGAGCGGAGAUACGGCCCAAGGUCGUACGGGAGGCAGAAGUGUGGACUAUGGCAGAAAGGGGGAAACCCUGAUGCACGAGGGCGCGGGGGGGAUGAAGGCUUUAGGGUUGUAAUCCUCACAUGAGGCGCUAUGGGUAGGUGGAGAAGAAGCGACGGCUAACUACGUGCCAGCAGCCGCGGUAAUUC